UACGAAGGGGGCUAGCGUUGUUCGGAUUUACUGGGCGUAAAGCGCACGUAGGCGGAUCGUUUAGUUGAGGGUGAAAUCCUGGAGCUCAACUCCAGAACUGCCUUCGAUACUGGCGAACUAGAGUCCGGAAGAGGUGAGUGGAACUCCUAGUGUAGAGGUGGAAUUCGUAGAUAUUAGGAAGAACACCAGUGGCGAAGGCGGCUCACUGGUCCGGUACUGACGCUGAGGUGCGAAAGCGUGGGGAGCAAACAGG
This 253-nucleotide ribosomal RNA is filed under the name uncultured bacterium. RNAcentral's name for it is "partial 16S ribosomal RNA". It matches the Rfam family "Bacterial small subunit ribosomal RNA", at positions 524 to 776 of the family's 1533-position model. The record is from RNAcentral.